RNAcentral lists this long non-coding RNA (586 nucleotides) under Anser brachyrhynchus (Pink-footed goose). RNAcentral's name for it is "lncRNA (ENSABRG00000008398.1)". Lineage: Eukaryota; Metazoa; Chordata; Aves; Anseriformes; Anatidae. The record is from RNAcentral.
GAGGAGGCUUCAAAGGCCCAUGAGGAGGCCACCACAGGGCCAGCCCCAGUGCUCAGGAAACAUUUGGGGCCAGGGCCUUCCCCAGGGCCUGGUUUGAGUGACCACUGCUGCCAAAACAGGCCCAUCCACGACCCUGGGAGCCUUCACCAUCAGACUGCCUCCUCAUUCCUGGGGCCCUGCAGGGCCUUGUCCCAUUCCCCUUCACCUGGCUUGAUCCUGACCCUCAGUGUGAAAGUCAGGGUGGAUGAGGUAGAAGCCAUAGGAAAACAGGACAGUGGAUGCCAGGACAGUAAAGCAGGAUCUUACAGCCACACCCGGCAUACUGUAACCAUGACUCAGUCUUGUGUUCAUCUUAUGCAGCAAAGCUAUCGGCCUAAUUUUGCAAGGCUGUUGGGAGUGGUUGAGAGUACACUGCUGUUGCUGAUACCAGUAAGAACAGAAAAGAUGGAUGAAAGUGGUUAUACUGAAAUACACUAGAUCCUAACUAGUUCCUGGAAAAUGAUAUUUGUUCUUGUUUUGCUGUUAACAUAAAGUAAAAAUACUUUAAACAAUAUUUAACUUCAAUAAAAAUGCUUAGUGCUAUACA